Nicotiana tabacum (common tobacco) is the source of this 373-nucleotide long non-coding RNA. RefSeq lists it as uncharacterized. The record is from RefSeq and is a predicted model, not a curated record. Lineage: Eukaryota; Viridiplantae; Streptophyta; Magnoliopsida; Solanales; Solanaceae.
ACUCUCUCUCACAUUUCUCUGUUUCGGCUUCCGCCUUUCUUCUACAAGAACAAGAGUCCAACACUCUCCAACUCCUUGUUCGACUUCCGCCUCCAAGAGUCUAACUCCUUGCUCGACUUCCGCCUCCCUUUUCUGUCAAGACCAAACUACUCGACGCGACGAUUCUUGACUGGUUGUCUCACAAUCCUACUGAAAUUGAGAGCUACAUUAGGUCUGGUUGUGUUGUCUUAAAAGUAUAUAUGCGACUUCCCGAAAGUUGGAACUUGGAACUCUUUUGUGUAAUAUGUUAAAGAAUUUUUGUUGAUUCAGUUUAUUAGAUAAUUGUGGGGAUUUUGGUUUGUUUUAUUUUGAUAUGAAGAUUGUGUUUUGUUUA